RNAcentral lists this ribosomal RNA (484 nucleotides) under uncultured Legionellales bacterium. Its description in RNAcentral is "bacterial SSU rRNA". It matches the Rfam family "Bacterial small subunit ribosomal RNA", at positions 30 to 505 of the family's 1533-position model. The record is from RNAcentral. Lineage: Bacteria; Pseudomonadati; Pseudomonadota; Gammaproteobacteria; Legionellales.
AUUGAACGCUGGCGGUAUGCUUAACACAUGCAAGUCGAACGGUAACAGCAUCUAGCUUGCUAGAUGGCUGACGAGUGGCGGACGGGUGAGUAACGCGUAGGGAUCUGUCUAAAUGCCUGGGACAACACGGGGAAACUCGUGCUAAUACCGGAUGAGUUCUACGGAAGAAAGGUGGGGUUUACCCUGUCGCAUUUAGGUGAACCUGCGUUAGAUUAGCUUGUUGGUGGGGUAAAGGCCUACCAAGGCUACGAUCUAUAGCUGUUCUGAGAGGAAGAUCAGCCACACUGGGACUGAGACACGGCCCAGACUCCUACGGGAGGCAGCAGUGGGGAAUAUUGGACAAUGGGGGCAACCCUGAUCCAGCAAUACCGCGUGUGUGAAGAAGGCCUGAGGGUUGUAAAGCACUUUCAGCGAGGAGGAAGUUAAUAUAGUUAAUAGCUAUGUUGAUUGACGUUACUCGCAGAAGAAGCACCGGCUAACUCUG